This is a non-coding RNA of Rhypophila decipiens, 92 nucleotides long. The record is from the annotation of a GenBank genome assembly. NCBI's taxonomy places the organism in Eukaryota, Fungi, Ascomycota, Sordariomycetes, Sordariales, Naviculisporaceae.
GCCUUCGUGGCGCAAUGGUUAGCGCGUCAGACUUUUACGGAUGUCUUUCUGAUGAAAUCUGAAUGUUGCGAGUUCGAGUCUCGCCGAGGGCG